GAGCCCUGUCUGGUCACAACGAGAGCACCGUCCUACGGGGGCUCUGCCUGGAUUCUGGGGUCCGAGCUGGGAAACAGCAACAAAAACAGGGCCAGGUUAUUUAUUAUGCUGCCCGGACGAGAAUGAAUGGGGCCCCGCUCUCACACGGAGAAGAGCGAACGUGAUGCCUCCGUCCCCGAAGACUGAGGCUCUGAUAUUAAAGGGGCAAUUAAUCACCCUGGGCCUUGGGCAGAGGGGCGUCCCAUCUGGAGAGAGGGAGGAUGGUCUGGCAGGUAAGUCAUCGUGGCGAGAGGUGGCUGCACAGAGCUCAGGGGGCCCGCCUUUGCUGUGCCCCCCC
Molecule: long non-coding RNA, 337 nt
Organism: Myotis davidii
Lineage: Eukaryota; Metazoa; Chordata; Mammalia; Chiroptera; Vespertilionidae
Exons: 3
Source: RefSeq, a predicted model, not a curated record